RNAcentral lists this ribosomal RNA (250 nucleotides) under uncultured prokaryote. RNAcentral describes it as "partial 16S ribosomal RNA". It matches the Rfam family "Bacterial small subunit ribosomal RNA", at positions 524 to 773 of the family's 1533-position model. The record is from RNAcentral.
UACGUAGGGGGCAAGCGUUAUCCGGAUUUACUGGGUGUAAAGGGAGCGCAGGCGGUCACGCAAGUCAGAAGUGAAAGCCCGGGGCUUAACCCCGGGACUGCUUUUGAAACUGCGAGACUUGAUUGCAGGAGAGGUAAGUGGAAUUCCUAGUGUAGCGGUGAAAUGCGUAGAUAUUAGGAGGAACACCGGUGGCGAAGGCGGCUUACUGGACUGUAAAUGACGCUGAGGCUCGAAAGCGUGGGGAGCAAAC